RNAcentral lists this unclassified non-coding RNA (337 nucleotides) under soil metagenome. RNAcentral's name for it is "partial contains 5.8S ribosomal RNA, internal transcribed spacer 2, and large subunit ribosomal RNA". The stretch from base 1 to 120 matches the Rfam family "5.8S ribosomal RNA", at positions 35 to 154 of the family's 154-position model. The record is from RNAcentral.
GAUGAAGAACGUAGCGAAAUGCGAUAAGUAAUGUGAAUUGCAGAAUUCAGUGAAUCAUCGAAUCUUUGAACGCACAUUGCGCCGCUUGGUACUCCGAGGGGCAUGCCUGUUCGAGCGUCAUUACACCACUCAAGCUAUGCUUGGUAUUGGGCGUCGUCCUUAGUUGGGCGCGCCUUAAAGACCUCGGCGAGGCCACUCCGGCUUUAGGCGUAGUAGAAUUUAUUCGAACGUCUGUCAAAGGAGAGGAACUCUGCCGACUGAAACCUUUAUUUUUCUAGGUUGACCUCGGAUCAGGUAGGGAUACCCGCUGAACUUAAGCAUAUCAAUAAGCGGAGGA